GGAGCUGCCCUAGGCUUUCUAGUCUCAGCUCUCCUCCAGCUCAGCUGGUCAAGAGAGCGGAGACUAGAAAGCCCAGGGCAGGUUC
This 85-nucleotide microRNA precursor is filed under the name Cebus imitator (Panamanian white-faced capuchin). RNAcentral's name for it is "miRNA (ENSCCAG00000003102.1)". It matches the Rfam family "mir-3160 microRNA precursor family". Lineage: Eukaryota; Metazoa; Chordata; Mammalia; Primates; Cebidae. The record is from RNAcentral.